UGCUAUGAUGUUGUAAUUUGCGUCUUACUCUGUGCUCAGUGACAGUUGCCUGCUGUCAGCAUACUGGCACAGGUGAUUGACGAGCAGUUAAAUGCUGAGCA
Small nucleolar RNA from Nothoprocta perdicaria, 101 nucleotides. Its record names the gene SNORD16. It matches the Rfam family "Small nucleolar RNA SNORD16". From Rfam's summary of the family: U16 is a member of the C/D class of snoRNA which contain the C (UGAUGA) and D (CUGA) box motifs. U81 acts as a guanine methylation guide and is found in an intron of ribosomal proteins L1 gene in animals. The record is from Ensembl. Lineage: Eukaryota; Metazoa; Chordata; Aves; Tinamiformes; Tinamidae.